Homo sapiens (human) is the source of this 3303-nucleotide long non-coding RNA. Ensembl annotates it as long intergenic non-protein coding RNA 1915. NCBI's taxonomy places the organism in Eukaryota, Metazoa, Chordata, Mammalia, Primates, Hominidae. The record is from Ensembl.
AAAUGGUCAGUGAUAAUAAACAAGAAGGAGGGAUUUCCAAGGGAGCAGAGCAUUAAUAAGGUUUUAUCUACUACAAAGGAUAUCACUUGGGAAGGAAUUUCUUGAAACUGCUCCCAAGAGAGCCAUUGGACCAUGUGGUAAACAACUCCUAGCUGAUGGAUUAUUGGGAAUAUUAACAUCAUCCAGAAUGCUAUGGGGAGAAGACAACUGGAAGCUCCGUGUGGACAAACCUCCUGGACUCUGCCCCACAUAUCUCUUCCCUUGGCUGAUUUGAAUUUGUAUCCUUUCACUGUGAUAAACCACAACCAGAUUAUUACAGCUGUCAGCAAGUUCUUCUAUUGAAUUGUUGAAACUGAGGGUGGUCUUGGGAACCCCUGAACUCUACUGUUGGUGUCAGGAGUGAGGGAAGUCUUGUGGACUGUACUCCCUGACCUCACAGGUGCAUUUUCCAACUUUAUUUGGACAUUCCCCAACAACAUCAUCCCCUUCUUCAAAUAUGUUUCUGCUACAAACAUUGUCCUUUAGAUGGUUCCUUUGCUGCCAUUAUGACUAUGGCGUAAUCUGUAGUAAAGCACCAUUAAGAUGUUAAUACAGAUGUAUGUGUGAAUUAAAAAGUGAUGCUAAAUGCAUAGUAACCAAUUUACUUCGCAUUAAUAAUUUAGCUAUUUUUAUUUGUUUCUAAACAAAAAGCAAAGAGGAUCCAGUCCAGAGAGCAGUUGCAACAGUGUGCACAAUUUUUAUUAAACCGAAAUAAAAGUUCUUGGGCUAUGGAAGUCACCUAAAUUCACUUCUCUUUUCCUAUGAACUUUCACUUUUUUUCCUUCCAACUCUAGUUAGAAGCUGACAGCUGACACGCCCUUCCUUUGUGCAUUUUAUCCUGGGACAAAAUGAGAAGACAUCCUUCAGUUCCCCUCAUCAACAAGAAUUUACCAAGAAGAAUUCUCCAAUGCCAGUGAGAUUCUGAAAUCUCAUAGUUGUACUCAAUUAUAAAUUACUUAUUCACAUGAUCCAGGUUUUACAUGGGUUAAUUUUUUUAGAUAAUCAUCAGAAUGAAAACAUGACAUUUAAAAAAGCACAAAUAAGACUACAAAGAUUGUUACAUGUUCUCAGGAUCCCUGAGUCCAGGUUGAGAAAUGCUCUUUUAAAGACGCCCAGGCACAUGCAUUUUGGUUUAACAAUACUUGAUCUACUAAUAGUUCUCAUCAUGCAGUAAUUUAAGUAUUUGGUUGUAUUUUUGUAAGAAUUAAUAAAAUGUUAUAUGUGAAAAUAUUUUGCAAGUUAUAAAGCAUUGCAAAUGUAUGUAGUUAAUUUUUUCUACCUCUUUCAUUUCUUCCUCGAAGACUGUGUAAGACAUACCAGUCUUUUGAUAUAUUUCCCUUUUAAAAUUUUGUCACCUUGGUCUUUUUCAUUAGAGUAUUGAUCAGCUGUCAUCUAGUACUUCAGAGGCAAACUUCAUCUGACUAUUUACCACACUGACAGAUACUGAUAAACCCUUCGUGAUUUCCUGGCUAUUUGGCAAAGUGUUUGAAAUAAUGAUUCAAAAGGGGGCUUCUUGAAAACCUCCUUUUGGAGUCUUAGAGGUUUAACUGAUUCCACUGAAUCUGAUAAUUGUGCUGUCUGCAAAGAAAUACAUGGGAGCAGUACAUGGAGCUCAGGUUGUAUGUAUUGGGAACAGAAACACUUCAAUCCUGCUAAUUGUAUUUAAAGCAGAUGGGGAAAGGGAGCCAAACAUCAGAGUUUGUUUUGCUGCAGACACUUAAUACACACUGUCCGGAUUGCUGGCUUUAGUUUCCCAUUGUGUAGGGGGGAAACUGAUGUUCAGAAAACUUCAAUAAUUUGACUAAAAUCACAGAAGGAGAUGGAGCAAGAUUUGAUCCCUGGUCCUGAUUUCCAAGUGAAUAUCAUUUCCCAUAUGUCUGGCUAUGGAAGAGGGAAUGAGAAUGUAGGAAAUGGCAAACCAGGGUCUUGGGCUGAGAAAAUGGAGCUUCCCAGGCUGGCAUUUACCAAAUCAUGUGUGGCCUCAAAUCCAGUUCUCCAAGACAAUUUCCUGCUCCCUACACCCCUACCUCCCUUAGUUACAUCCACGUUCCUCCAUCAUUGGCACCAUCGUUCAGUGUCAGCUUCUUCCUGGAAAACUAGUUUGCCUUAAAAACUUGCUCAAAGACUGUUUUUCCCUCUCUCUCUCUCUUUCUAGGACUGACCUCUCUAACUCAGUAGUUAGACUCUUGAGUCCUUGAAAUUGAGCACAGGUAUGGGCUACCACAGGAACACCAAUACAAAUGCUAACAUUUCCUGAGUGACUACAGUGGGCCGAGUACUGCAUUAACUGCUUUAUACGUAUUAUUUCAUUUAAUCCUCACCACAACCCUCUGUCGUUCCUACUAUUAUUGCCAUUUUAUAGAUAAGAAAACGGAGGCACAGAAAGACCCAGCCAUUUGUCCACGGUUACACAGCUGAAAUAAGGCCAUAGUAGACUAAAACCCAUUGUCAUUCCAUCCCCAGGGCUUUGUGUUGUCUUUCUGAGCAAACUUGGGUGAAUUGUGACUAUGGGUUCCUCGGCAUGUGCUGCAUUCUUCUGAUCUCCUGUCUCUGGUUGCAAAGUUCUGGUCCAGGAAUCAAGUGUUCAACUUUCCAUGCAGCUCCCAUAGUACAGAACAGUUCUGAGCAAACAGCGAGUGUUUAGUGAACAGGGUUGACUUUUACUACAUGAAACACUAAUGUUCAGUUAUGUACUUGUGAAGGCAGAGGGAAGUAGCAUAUUCCAAGUGUCGUGUUGAUCCUCAGAGUAUAUUAAAAGGGAAACCAGACUUUGUCUCAGAGAAACUAAACUAAUAUUAAAUAAUGUUAUGGGCUACAUUGUGAUUUCCCCCUCCCUCAUAUAGAUAUGUUGAAAUUCUAGCCCCCUGCCCCCAUACCUCAGAAUGUGACUGUAUUUGGAGAUAGGGUCUUUAAAGAGGCAACUAAGGUAAGAGAAGUUCGUUAGGCUGUGCCCUAAUCCAAUAUGGUGAUGUCCUUAUAAGAAGAGAUUAAGACACAGACACCCACAGAGGGAAGACCAUGUAAAGACACGGAGAAGGUGGCCAUCUGCAAGCCAAGGAGGAGAGAGGCCUCACGAGAAAUCCACCUUGCCAACACCAUGGGGAAUAAAUUUCUGUUGUUUAAGCUACUUGGUCUGUGGUAUUUUGUGAUGGCAGCCCUGAAAAACUGGUAUAGACACCAUUUGGGCAAAAAGAUAAGAGCCUGCCUCUUUUUCUUGUGGUAAAGGGAGUUGGUGGGCAUAGGGCUGCUGUUUGGGGCAUACAC